AAGACCUUAUCCCCUACUUGGAACUCCACUUCCCUCCUGUGCUCAUCUGCUCUUGCCUUCAUAGUCUGCUGAGCUUUCAACAACUGCUGGCGAAGCAAUACCAGAUUGUCAUCACGCUCCUGCAGCCUUGCCUCCAACUCAGCAUUAUUGGUAGAACCAUUCUCGUAGCGUAACAGCGACGGUGGCUCUCUACCAUACAAAGCCUGGAAUGGUGACAUAUUAAUAGCAGAGUG
RNAcentral lists this long non-coding RNA (233 nucleotides) under Brassica rapa (field mustard). RNAcentral's name for it is "long non-coding RNA (BRAP_LNC006663)". The record is from RNAcentral. Lineage: Eukaryota; Viridiplantae; Streptophyta; Magnoliopsida; Brassicales; Brassicaceae.